USGCGGCGUGCCUAAUACAUGCAAGUCGAACGAGUUCUGAUUAUUGAAAGGUGCUUGCAUCUUGAUUUAAUUUUGAACGAGUGGCGGACGGGUGAGUAACACGUGGGUAACCUGCCCUUAAGUGGGGGAUAACAUUUGGAAACAGAUGCUAAUACCGCAUAAAUCCAAGAACCGCAUGGUUCUUGGCUGAAAGAUGGCGUAAGCUAUCGCUUUUGGAUGGACCCGCGGCGUAUUAGCUAGUUGGUGAGGUAACGGCUCACCAAGGCAAUGAUACGUAGCCGAACUGAGAGGUUGAUCGGCCACAUUGGGACUGAGACACGGCCCAAACUCCUACGGGAGGCAGCAGUAGGGAAUCUUCCACAAUGGACGCAAGUCUGAUGGAGCAACGCCGCGUGAGUGAAGAAGGCUUUCGGGUCGUAAAACUCUGUUGUUGGAGAAGAAUGGUCGGCAGAGUAACUGUUGUCGGCGUGACGGUAUCCAACCAGAAAGCCACGGCUAACUACGUGCCAGCAGCCGCGGUAAUACGUAGGUGGCAAGCGUUAUCCGGAUUUAUUGGGCGUAAAGCGAGCGCAGGCGGUUUUUUAAGUCUGAUGUGAAAGCCCUCGGCUUAACCGAGGAAGUGCAUCGGAAACUGGGAAACUUGAGUGCAGAAGAGGACAGUGGAACUCCAUGUGUAGCGGUGAAAUGCGUAGAUAUAUGGAAGAACACCAGUGGCGAAGGCGGCUGUCUGGUCUGUAACUGACGCUGAGGCUCGAAAGCAUGGGUAGCGAACAGGAUUAGAUACCCUGGUAGUCCAUGCCGUAAACGAUGAAUGCUAGGUGUUGGAGGGUUUCCGCCCUUCAGUGCCGCAGCUAACGCAUUAAGCAUUCCGCCUGGGGAGUACGACCGCAAGGUUGAAACUCAAAGGAAUUGACGGGGGCCCGCACAAGCGGUGGAGCAUGUGGUUUAAUUCGAAGCAACGCGAAGAACCUUACCAGGUCUUGACAUCUUUUGAUCACCUGAGAGAUCAGGUUUCCCCUUCGGGGGCAAAAUGACAGGUGGUGCAUGGUUGUCGUCAGCUCGUGUCGUGAGAUGUUGGGUUAAGUCCCGCAACGAGCGCAACCCUUAUGACUAGUUGCCAGCAUUUAGUUGGGCACUCUAGUAAGACUGCCGGUGACAAACCGGAGGAAGGUGGGGAUGACGUCAAAUCAUCAUGCCCCUUAUGACCUGGGCUACACACGUGCUACAAUGGAUGGUACAACGAGUUGCGAGACCGCGAGGUCAAGCUAAUCUCUUAAAGCCAUUCUCAGUUCGGACUGUAGGCUGCAACUCGCCUACACGAAGUCGGAAUCGCUAGUAAUCGCGGAUCAGCACGCCGCGGUGAAUACGUUCCCGGGCCUUGUACACACCGCCCGUCACACCAUGAGAGUUUGUAACACCCGAAGCCGGUGGCGUAACCCUUUUAGGGAGCGAGCCGUCUAAGGUGGGACAAAUGAUUAGGGUGAAGUCG
RNAcentral lists this ribosomal RNA (1489 nucleotides) under Lacticaseibacillus rhamnosus. Its description in RNAcentral is "bacterial SSU rRNA". It matches the Rfam family "Bacterial small subunit ribosomal RNA". Lineage: Bacteria; Bacillati; Bacillota; Bacilli; Lactobacillales; Lactobacillaceae. The record is from RNAcentral.